This 348-nucleotide small nuclear RNA is filed under the name Jaculus jaculus (lesser Egyptian jerboa). RNAcentral's name for it is "7SK RNA (ENSJJAG00000004328.1)". The stretch from base 1 to 282 matches the Rfam family "7SK RNA". Rfam says of the family: 7SK was discovered as an abundant small nuclear RNA in the mid-70s but a possible function has only recently been suggested. Lineage: Eukaryota; Metazoa; Chordata; Mammalia; Rodentia; Dipodidae. The record is from Rfam by way of RNAcentral.
GGACGUGAGGGCGAUCUGGCUGUGACAUCUGUCACCCCACUGAUCGCCAGGGUUGCUUUGGCUGAUCUGGCGGGUUAUGUGGGUGUCUGCUUCCUCCCUCACCACUCUGUGUGUGUUCCUCCAAAGCUCAGGUGAAAAGGAGGACUUUCCCAAAUAGAGGAGGAUGUGUCUUCCAUCAAGGGUACACUUGUGGCUGCACUCUUUGGCCAGAACCUCCACACAAGCUCUCAAGAAUGCACUCCCAGGCUGGAGAGAUGGCUUAGCGGUUAAGUGCCUGCCUGUGAAGCCUGAGGACCCCAGUUCAAGGCUCGAUUCCCCAGGACCCACGUUAGCCAUAUGCACUAGGGG